UUAGUCUUCCCCUGGUUGAUUUGACAAGCUCCUUUUUUGAAGAUAGUUCUUACUUGCCACUUGAGCUUUGUCACCUCAGGAUGUUUUACCUCCUCAUGCAGGCAGGUUGGGAGUUUGGACUGGCGCACAUACCUGCAAGAUCUAGCCAAUGCAGUGUUGUGGCAAAUGUCACCAGUAAGGAGGUUUGGCUGCCUGUUUUCAAGGUCUGCCCUGAUACGGUGGAGUGUAACCUAGGAUCAGAGUGCUGUGAAAAGAGCUGUGUGUCAAAGAGCUGAGGGAAGUCUGCUGGGGCCUCCCCACUUCCCUUGGGAGCCACGGCACAGAGCUGCCCUUGUCCUCGCUCCUUGUCUGGGGUAGGCUGUAGGGCUGUCUGUGCCUGGCUGUGGACCUUCCUGAUCCUGACCCCGAAUUGCUGACUUGACUUUUUGGCUUGGCCUCAGACCUGGCUCAUCCCUAUGGGCUUCUCUGACGGUCUUUGGGCUCCUGUCUAAACGUGGUUACCGUCACCGGACCUGCUCCACUCUUCUUGCUUGGUCACUGUGGCACUGUGCCGCUUUACAGUGAGGUCCUGUCCUGCUGGCCUGGCUGUCAGCCCGGCUGUGCUCCCCAAGCUCCUCUGCAGCUCCUGCACUGCCCUGCUCCUGGCAUUGACCGUGGCCUUUCAGAUACAGCAUCUCCGUCUGUCUGAGAAGUCGGAGAGUAAAUGAGCAGCGAUACGAGAGGCAUUGUGGCAUCAUGCUGAUUUAUUGCUAUGGCAAAUAAGAAAGAUGUGGCAUUAGCUUUGCCUCCCUUCAUUUCCAACUUCCUGAAAAGACAAACCGAAAAUCGGAUUUAUUGGCAAGAGCUCGGACCGCCAAGAAAACAGCCGGCAGGAGGAGCUCUCUAGACAUUUCGCUGCAUCAUUUUCGGACAGUCACAGCUGCAUGUUUCAAGGGUGUCACUUUAGAUCUACUUUCUUGGGACUUCCUUGCAGACAAUCCAGCAGCAGCAGACGACAGAGACAACUUUGUGGUAUUGCAACUGAGCAGCUCCAGUAAUAUAUUUUUAAUUUUUGUUGAGACUACUCAGAUUCCUUCUCCCACUGUGAUGCCUUUCUCUGUUGUUUUUUUCAGAAACUUAAGGUGUUCAUGAAGAUGUUGGGGAUUCUUUUUAGUCCCUGGAAGGGGCCAAGUGUUUUAUCUUCCAAGAAAGCUAGUGUAAGAUUUUUAUGGACAGCAUCCUAAUUACAGGGUAAAGAAUUCCAAAGCAAUGCUUGUCUUUGCAUAGAAAGAUGUACUCCUGGAUUCCUCAUGACCUCUGAGGGGACCUGUGAAGCAAAGAGCUCCAAAAUGUAUCAGUACCGCUCUGAAUAUUGGCCUGACAAAGUUAUUCAAAUAGUUCUGCCUCCUUGUAUGCAGUUCAUCUUUUUUUUUCUGUAAGAAGCAGGUAUGGAAGACAGUAGUCACUCUUUUGCACAGCACUGCGUUCUCAUUAGUCAGGUGCAAAGUAUCACCCUGCUUCUUAAGGCCAGUCCUGCAGCCCUAAAUUGCGUGGGCCCCAUGGCUGUGCCUCUGCACCACCUUUAAAAAAGAAGUAAGAUUUUAUUUUUUUAAUGUGGUGAAUUCUUUACUUUUGUAAGUCUGGCCCUCAGUUAUCUAAAUGGGAACUAGGUGCCUUCUGGUCUUGAAUGUUGCUGUAAUAAUUAUUUUGAUUCUGAAUGUGCCAGAAACUAUUUUAAUGCAUAUCAGUGUAAAUUAAGUCAAUAGAGAUUCUUCAAAUUUAUCCUGGUGUUCAAGAGAAUGGAAUUCAUGCACUUCAAUUUACAGCUUAUUAAGUGAUCAGAAUUAAUGAACUCGCAACAACCUUU
Harpia harpyja (harpy eagle) is the source of this 1846-nucleotide long non-coding RNA. RefSeq lists it as uncharacterized. The transcript has 2 exons. The record is from RefSeq and is a predicted model, not a curated record. Lineage: Eukaryota; Metazoa; Chordata; Aves; Accipitriformes; Accipitridae.